RNAcentral lists this unclassified non-coding RNA (313 nucleotides) under plant metagenome. RNAcentral's name for it is "partial contains 5.8S ribosomal RNA, internal transcribed spacer 2, and large subunit ribosomal RNA". The stretch from base 1 to 105 matches the Rfam family "5.8S ribosomal RNA", at positions 50 to 154 of the family's 154-position model. The record is from RNAcentral.
GAAAUGCGAUAAUUAAUGUGAAUUGCAGAAUUCAGUGAAUCAUCGAGUCUUUGAACGCACAUUGCGCCCCCUGGUAUUCCGGGGGGCAUGCCUGUCCGAGCGUCAUUGCUGCCCUCAAGCACGGCUUUGUGUUGGGCUUCCGUCCCUGGCAACGGGGACGGGCCCAAAAGGCAGUGGCGGCACCAUGUCUGGUCCUCGAGCGUAUGGGGCUUUGUCACCCGCUCCCGUAGGUCCAGCUGGCAGCUAGCCUCGCAACCAAUCUUUUUAACCAGGUUGACCUCGGAUCAGGUAGGGAUACCCGCUGAACUUAAGC